Molecule: ribosomal RNA, 161 nt
Filed under: uncultured bacterium
Lineage: Bacteria
Description: partial 16S rRNA
Rfam family: Bacterial small subunit ribosomal RNA
Source: RNAcentral
UAGGGAAUCUUCCACAAUGGACGCAGUCUGAUGAGCAACGCCGCGUGAGUGAAGAAGGUCUUCGGAUCGUAAACUCUGUUGUUAGAGAAGAACACGAGUGAGAGUAACUGUUCAUUCGAUGACGGUAUCUAACCAGCAAGUCACGGCUAACUACGUGCCAG